RNAcentral lists this ribosomal RNA (253 nucleotides) under uncultured bacterium. RNAcentral describes it as "partial 16S ribosomal RNA". It matches the Rfam family "Bacterial small subunit ribosomal RNA", at positions 524 to 776 of the family's 1533-position model. The record is from RNAcentral.
UACGUAGGGUGCGAGCGUUGUCCGGAAUUAUUGGGCGUAAAGCGCACGUAGGCGGAUAUUUAAGUCAGGGGUGAAAUCCCAGAGCUCAACUCUGGAACUGCCUUUGAUACUGGGUAUCUUGAGUAUGGAAGAGGUAAGUGGAAUUGCGAGUGUAGAGGUGAAAUUCGUAGAUAUUCGCAGGAACACCAGUGGCGAAGGCGGCUUACUGGUCCAUUACUGACGCUGAGGUGCGAAAGCGUGGGGAGCAAACAGG